GACGAACGCUGGCGGCGUGCUUAACACAUGCCAGUCGAACGGAAAGGCCUCUUUCGGGGGGUACUCGAGUGGCGAACGGGUGAGUAACACGUGAGUAACCUGCCCUUGACUUUGGGAUAACUUCAGGAAACUGGGGCUAAUACCGGAUAGGAGCUCCUGCUGCAUGGUGGGGGUUGGAAAGUUUCGGCGGUUGGGGAUGGACUCGCGGCUUAUCAGCUUGUUGGUGGGGUAGUGGCUUACCAAGGCUUUGACGGGUAGCCGGCCUGAGAGGGUGACCGGCCACAUUGGGACUGAGAUACGGCCCAGACUCCUACGGGAGGCAGCAGUGGGGAAGAUUGCACAAUGGGUGGAAGCCUGAUGCAGCAACGCCGUGUGCGGGAUGACGGCCUUCGGGUUGUAAACCGCUUUCGCUCAUGACGAAGCUUUGUGUGACGGUAGUGGGUAAAGAAGCACCGGCUAACUACGUG
This 467-nucleotide ribosomal RNA is filed under the name uncultured bacterium. RNAcentral describes it as "partial 16S ribosomal RNA". It matches the Rfam family "Bacterial small subunit ribosomal RNA", at positions 28 to 507 of the family's 1533-position model. The record is from RNAcentral.